Molecule: long non-coding RNA, 3652 nt
Filed under: Sus scrofa (pig)
Lineage: Eukaryota; Metazoa; Chordata; Mammalia; Artiodactyla; Suidae
Description: lncRNA (ENSSSCG00040032925.1)
Source: RNAcentral
UUUUGUCUUUUUAGGACCACACCUGAGGCAUAUGGAGGGUCCCAGGCUAGGGGUCAAAACGGAGCUUAGCUACCAGCCACAGCCACAGCCAUAGCAACGUGGCUUCUGAGCCGCAUCUGUGACCUACACCACAGCUCACAGCAAUGCCAGAUCCUUAACCCACUGAGUGAGGCCGGGGAUCGAACCCACAACCUCAUGGAUACUAGUCAGGUUCAUUAACCACUGAGCCACGACGAUGGGUGGGGGCAAUGAUUGUUUUCUGUCUCACAUCUGGAUUUCAUUAGCAGCCCAGGGCAUGCUGACUCAGGAAUGGCAGCUCCCCUGGGCUCAGGCCCUCCCCGGACCCCUCACAGUGCCCGGUCCUUAGCUGGACAGGGGAGGCACACCCCUCAGACCUCCCUCGAAGGAGUAACCAGCCCCAGAAUAUCUUGGGAGUGGUGAGGCUAGGGCUUCAAGAAUUCCUGCUCUCAGCUCAGUGCCUGCCGGGUGGCUGCCAGCUGGGAUUGGCUGGGCCUGACCAUCAUGAAGAGUGACAGAGGGCUUAGGGGAAGGACCCAGGGUCUUGGAUAUACUGCCCCCAUCUACACUUCAGUCUCUAUUCCCACAGAGGUGCUGAGUGGGCCACCAAGGAAAGGGAAACUUGCACUGACCUCAAAUUGCAGAGCUAUUUUGGAGAGGAGGAAGGGCAGCCCAGAGAAGUUAAGUGACUUGUCCAAGGUUGCACAGCUGGUAAAUAGUAGAGGAGGAACUUGAACUCUGGUUUUUGAGAUAUAAAUUUGAAGCUGUUUCCUUUGACCUCAACAAGAUGUCCCUUCACUAACAUCGGGGUCCUUACUGUUGGCAUAGGGACCCUCAAUCCUUUCUGAACUUUAGAGGAAAAGUAAUAUCUGAAAGUUUCAGAGCCUAUUAUCCAUCAGAGAGGUCCGCAGUUUAUGUCCAACCUAAAGCAGCCCUAGACUCUCUUCAGGACCAUAUUAGGACUUAUGGGCCGCCUCCUCCAUAAAAAGUGAUUUAACAUUCUAUUUUAUUUUAUGACUGUAUUGAUAUAAAGAUAAAUAUUACCCAGGCUGCAUUCAUUAUUACAUGCUCAUUAUUAUUACACUCAUUUUUUCCUUCUGGUUUUAAAAUAAAUGAAAAUUACAACAUUUUUUGUGGGCCCCUAAAAGAAUUGUGGGCUCUCGGUGCUGCGCCUGCUGCUUCUCCUUGGAGAAGGUGGCCUGGCACUCGGUCAAAGCACUCGUGCUCUGCAGGGCACUUCUUGCCCUCUCAUAUCUUCUUAUUUUCUUAUUGAUUUGUGCUUAUUGUUUGACUUCACCGUAAGUAUAAGUACCAAGAGAGUGGGAACCCUUCCUGGUUUGUUGACUGUGGCAUCCUCAAGUUCUACUAUGCCAAGCACAUAGUAGGUGUUCAAUAAAUAUUUGCUGCAUGAAUAAAUGAAGAGACUAUCUUCUCAGGCAGGUGUAUUUGUACCCCAGGUAGCGGCACCCCAUUGGCCCCGGUGGCUAAUUCAGGGAUCUGUUACCCCUCUUGAUACCUUAUCCCUCUCCCCUCACCUGCCUGGUCCCCAUGUCCCAUAGAUGCUACUUUCUCAUCAUGUCUGGAAUGUGUCCCCUCACCUCCGACUUUCACUCACCCUUGCCUUAUGUCUGGUCUUAUCAUAUAUCCACGUUCCUGGACUGGUUUCGUCUGCAGUCUUGCCUCCUCCAGCUUGGCCUACAAACUGCCACCAGCGUGAUCUUUCAAAAUGCCAAUCUGAGCAUGUCACCUAAAACCCUUGGAUGGCUUCUCCUUGCCCUCCAGAUAAAGUCCAAGUUUGUGCAGGCUGGCACACAGGUCCUUCACCACCUGCUGCAGCCACACCUCCCGCUCCUCCCCUCAGGCACCCAGAGUGCCAGCCAUCGCCAAGGGCUCGUGGUUCCCGGAAACCUAACCCCCACUAUUUACACACUUGCUUGGAAGCCUUCCCUGCCCCGGGCCCAGGCUCCUCCUUUCUGCGGCCUCCCAUGAAGCCCUGGCUCCCAUGAAGCCUUAAUUGCUCACUGCCAACCUCAUCUCUAGGCCUGAACGGCCAAUAGUGCUCUUGUUGUCCACUCUGUCCCACUGAGGACAGAGGUCAGGCUUUAUCUAGCACAGGCCUGACACAUAGUAGGAGCUCAGGAAGAACUGGGUGAUUAUACUGAGUGCUGGGCCCGUCUCUGUCCUGGACCGAUUGUGUGUCCUGGGCACAGAUGUGGCACUGAAUCAAGGGGCCCACAAUCACACACCAUGUGGACAAGUGUGGCUGGCUUAGAGCAAUUUGUGCCAUAUUGGUGUGCAGAAGCCAAUGUGAGAGGCACAGGUGACCCUGCAGGCAGCCCCAACAGAGUAUCAUGACUCCCCUACAGCCACCUAGGGUUUCUCAGUCAUUGGAUCUGGCAGGCCCAGACCACCCCUAGCCUCCUUGACUACAAGAGGGCCAGCAAAUACCCUGGGGCUGGACCAGUGGUGGAAUCUACCAGACACAACAACUUGGUUAGACCAGGCCUAAUAUGACUUUUGCCAGUAUUGUCUUUAUCCUUCUUUAUUUCCAGCAGCCUAUCUUUUUAAAGAACCCUGACUUUCUGAGAAUGAUGGUAGAGAUCAAAGUCUAGAUGCUAAAGCUGAUAGUAGAAUCUAAUUCAAAAAGCAUGGGCUCUUGAAUCAGGAAGGCUUGAGUUCCAAUUCCAGCUUUGCUGUUCACUUGCUCUGUGACCUUAGGAAAGUCACCUAACUUCUCUGGGCCUCAGUUUUAUCAUCUAACAAUGGACCUGAUAGGGUUUUUGAGACAAUUAAAUGAGCUAAUGCAUAUUACAUGCUAAGCUCAGUGGUAAACUCAAUACUUAGAGACUCUCACUAUUGCUGUUAAUAUUAUCAUUAUCCUUGAAUUGACACCUGGCAGGGGUGGAUGGACUGUGUGGGGAUAGCAGCAGGAACUCUGGUUUUUCAAAAGCUAGGUGGUGGAUGUUCUUGAGGCCCAGUCUUCUUGGGCCAGUGGUGACACUGGCUGCAGAGGAACCCUGGCCCAGGCACAGCCUCACCUCACGAAGAGGGGCUGCUUUGCACUGCUAUUGGGAAUUUAUCUCUAGCACUUCCUGCCUCUGCUUGGGGGCACCCCAUCUUUCUGUAGUGCCAAAUUCUCCUGCACUGUGCCUGGUAACUAUGAGAAGUUCUGUAAGUCUGAGCUGAACUCUGGACACACUUCUCAACCCUUAAGGUUGGAAAGGAAUCAAUUAAUAGGUUACCAUCCUCUGGUUUCCGAAUCCCACUACCUGGGCCAUUGGCAGUGCAUGUUACCUUCUUUAGAGCCUGGGGCUCCUUGGGCAGCUUCAGGACCAGCAGAGUUGGCCUAGAGUUCUGCACAUUCCACUCCCCGUUAGACCAUUUAAGAUUUUAAAAGCAUUUAGACCAUUUAAAAGUCAUUCCACAAAAGAAGAGAAAGGAGUAGAAACGUUAUUCAAAGAAAUAAUGGCUGAAAACUUUCCAAAUCUGAUUAAGAACUUUAAUCAAUACAUCCAAGCAACUCAAAUAGAUCCCAAAUAGGAUAAAUACGAAGAGAUCCACGAAUAGACACACCAUAGUAAAACAGCUGAAAGCUAAAACAAGGAGAAAAUCUUGAAAGCAGCAAGAGAAAAAU